AACUCAGUGCUUACUGACAUCCACUCUCAGAUCAACAGAGUUUCUUGUCCCAGGAAGAAGAUUGGGUUUUCUCUUUUGUAAUAUUUAACCUUUUGUUUUUGGAGAUUUGGUGGGCAUGCAUGCAGCCAAAGGCAUGCCUGGGUUCAACACUACACCCCUGACGCUGGAUCUAAAUGAUUUUUGUAGUCCGAAGCCGGAUUUAAAUAAG
This 208-nucleotide long non-coding RNA is filed under the name Gossypium barbadense (sea-island cotton). RNAcentral describes it as "long non-coding RNA (GBAR_LNC015685)". The record is from RNAcentral. Lineage: Eukaryota; Viridiplantae; Streptophyta; Magnoliopsida; Malvales; Malvaceae.